UUUAAGUGCAACCAUGAGUUUUCCGUGCCUAAUUUUGAUCGUCCGUCUUAUUUGAAAAAAAUUAUAAUUAGUAUUUUUAUUGUUAUGAAAUGAUAAAACAUGAAUAGUAUUUUACUCGUGACUUAUGUUUUUAAUUUUUUUUUUAAAAUUGUUUUAAAAAAAACGGACGAUCAAAGUUGGACGCGGAAAACCAUGGCUGCACUUAAA
MicroRNA precursor from Oryza sativa Japonica Group (Japanese rice), 207 nucleotides. It matches the Rfam family "MIR812 microRNA precursor family". NCBI's taxonomy places the organism in Eukaryota, Viridiplantae, Streptophyta, Magnoliopsida, Poales, Poaceae. The record is from Rfam.